GUGCUCACUUUGGCAGCACAUAUAAUAAAAUCAGAAAGAUGCAGAGAAGAUUAGCAUGCCCCCUGCACAAGGAUGACAUGCAUAUUCAUGAAGUGUUCCAUAUUUUU
Molecule: small nuclear RNA, 107 nt
Organism: Colobus angolensis palliatus
Lineage: Eukaryota; Metazoa; Chordata; Mammalia; Primates; Cercopithecidae
Source: Ensembl